UCCCGGUUAUCCCGGGCAGUUCCCUUAGGGUGCUUCCCUUGCGGGCGAGCAACUAAGGACAGGGGUUGCGCUCGUUGCGGGACUUAACCCAACACCUCACGGCACGAGCUGACGACAGCCAUACAGCACCUGUGCUAGCUCCCCUUUCAGGGUUCUACUACUUGCAUGUCAAGGCCAGGUAAGGUUCUUCGCGUUGCAUCGAAUUAAGCCACAUACUCCACCGCUUGUGCAGGCCCCCGUCAAUUUCUUUGAGUUUUAAUCUUGCGACCGUACUUCCCAGGCGGCUUGCUUAACGCGUUAGCUCCGCCACAAGAGGGGUCGAUUCCUCUUACAGCAAGCAAGCACCGUUUAGGGCUAGGACUAC
Molecule: unclassified non-coding RNA, 364 nt
Filed under: uncultured Verrucomicrobiae bacterium
Lineage: Bacteria; Pseudomonadati; Verrucomicrobiota; Verrucomicrobiia
Description: contains 16S-23S intergenic spacer region
Source: RNAcentral